This 86-nucleotide transfer RNA is filed under the name Cognatiyoonia koreensis. RNAcentral's name for it is "tRNA_Leu_CAA". It matches the Rfam family "tRNA". From Rfam's summary of the family: Transfer RNA (tRNA) molecules are approximately 80 nucleotides in length. Their secondary structure includes four short double-helical elements and three loops (D, anti-codon, and T loops). Lineage: Bacteria; Pseudomonadati; Pseudomonadota; Alphaproteobacteria; Rhodobacterales; Paracoccaceae. The record is from RNAcentral.
GGCCGUGUGGUGGAAUGGUAGACACGACGGAUUCAAAAUCCGUUGCCUUCGCGGGCGUGCCGGUUCAAGUCCGGCCACGGCUACCA